ACUGCUCAGUAACACGUAGUCAACAUGCCCAGAGGACGUGGAUAACCUCGGGAAACUGAGGAUAAACCGCGAUAGGCCAGGAUUCCUGGAAUGGUUCAUGGCCGAAAUCUAUAUGGCCUUUGGAUUGGACUGCGGCCGAUCAGGCUGUUGGUGAGGUAAUGGCCCACCAAACCUGUUACCGGUACGGGCUCUGAGAGGAGGAGCCCGGAGAUGGGCACUGAGACAAGGGCCCAGGCCCUAUGGGGCGCAGCAGGCGCGAAACCUCUGCAAUAGGCGAAAGCUUGACAGGGUUACUCUGAGUGAUUUCCGCUAAGGAGAUCUUUUGACACCUCUAAAAAUGGUGUAGAAUAAGGGGUGGGCAAGUCUGGUGUCAGCCGCCGCGGUAAUACCAGCACCCCGAGUGGUCGGGACGAUUAUUGGGCCUAAAGCAUCCGUAGCCGGUCCUACAAGUCUUCCGUUAAAUCCACCUGCUCAACAGAUGGGCUGCGGAAGAUACUAUAGGGCUAGGAGGCGGGAGAGGCAAGCGGUACUCAGUGGGUAGGGGUAAAAUCCUCUGAUCCAUUGAAGACCACCAGUGGCGAAGGCGGCUUGCCAGAACGCGCUCGACGGUGAGGGAUGAAAGCUGGGGGAGCAAACCGGAUUAGAUACCCGGGUAGUCCCAGCUGUAAACGAUGCAGACUCGGUGAUGGGUUGGCCUUGUGCCAACCCAGUGCCGCAGGGAAGCCGUUAAGUCUGCCGCCUGGGGAGUACGGUCGCAAGACUGAAACUUAAAGGAAUUGGCGGGGGAGCAC
RNAcentral lists this ribosomal RNA (791 nucleotides) under uncultured archaeon. Its description in RNAcentral is "bacterial SSU rRNA". It matches the Rfam family "Archaeal small subunit ribosomal RNA", at positions 85 to 879 of the family's 1478-position model. The record is from RNAcentral.